GGCUCAAUAGAAACUCCAGCUACUUAGAAAUUCUUGGGACAAUAAGGAGCCCUGCGUCUUAGUGUACUUGUAGGUAUGUACGGCAGACCAAAUCAGAGAGGUAGAAGCAAGUCCAUGUAACGCUUUGUAGGUUAGCAGUAAAACCUUGAAAUCAGACCUAGCCUUAUCAGGAAGCUAGUUAAGGGUAGCCAGUAGAGAGGCUGGCACUGGAGCAAUAUGAUCAAAUUUUUGGGCUCUAGUCAAGAUUCUAGCAACCAUAUUUACUGAACUUUAUUUAGUGCUUUAUCUGGGUAGCCGGAGAAUAGAGCAUUUUAAUAGUCUAAUAUAGAAGUGACAAAAGCAUUGAAGUUUCUGGUUUUUGCAAUGUUAAGAAGAUGGAUAAAAGCUGCCCUUGAAAUAUUCUUGCUAUGUUCGUCAAAAGAGAGAUAAGGGUCCAGAGUAACGCUGAGGUCCUUCACAGUCUAAUUUGAGAUGACUGUACAACCAUUAAGAUUAAUUGUCAGAUCAAACAGCAGAUCUCUUUGUUUCUUGGGACCUAGAACAAGCAUCUCUGUUUGGUCCGAGUUUAAAAGUCAAACAUUUACCGCCAUCCACUUCCUUAUGUCUGAAACAGUCUUCCAGGUAGGGCAAUUUUGGGGCAAGAACUUGUCCGUGGAGACCAAUUAGGGUUUUCAAUCUCUCCAAAAGAAUGUGGGGAUCGAUGGUGUCAAAAGCGGCACUAAGGUCUCGGAGCACGAGGACAGAUGCAGAGCCUCGGUCUGAUGCCGUUGAAAAGUAAUUUACUACCUUCACAAGUGCAGUCUCAUGAGGAGGUCUAAAACCAGACGGGAGCGUUUGAUAUACAUUAUUUGUCUUCGGGACGGCAGUGAGUUAGUGCUCAACAGCUUUGUCUAACAGUUUUGAGAGGAAAGGGAGUUUCUAUAUAGGCUGAUAGUUUCUGAGUCAAGGUUUGGCUUUUUCAAGAGAGGCUUUAUUACUGCCACUUUUAGAUUCAAAGAAGACCAUCCUCACUUGGGGAAUACUGCUUUCCAGUUAGCUUUGCGGCAGUAUCAAAAAUACAUUUUGUAUUGUUUUUAUUCUCCUCAUUCAGGUUGAAAAAGUAGGCUGAUCGAGCAGCAGUUGAGGGCUCCUCGACAUUGCACAGUACUGUCUUUCCAAUAACCAGUGUACAGUAUCAGUUCUCUAUGUUUGAAAAGCACUAUGAAGCUGUGGCUUGGAGUAUUGCUUCUCCAUCCCAUAAAACUCCAUCGCUUACUAGGCAUCAAUUAGCUAACAUAAUUUAUUUGUUUAUUGGGAAGUUUAAUUAACAAGUUAGACACUCAUCAUACAACUUUGUAAUUUGGUUUCCAUUUACAACAAAUGUUUCUUCUUCCACAGACUUUCUGGUCUUGGAACUCCUGUGUUCAACAGAAACGACUUCUGGUAAACUGUUUGCCACUAGUGGCAAUAAAUAUUGUUGCCACAGGUUUGCCACAGAUUGAAAUAGAAGAAUCUCGAGAUAAUUUUUUUCCAGAAAAAAACUCUGGUGAACUGUUUGCUGCUACUACAUAUGAUUGUUGCCGCAGAUGCACCACUAGUGGCAAACAUUUGCAAACCUCUGGCGACAUUUUUUGGCACACUAUUUAGUUUGCAGCAAAUUUGCCACAACCUUAAUUAAGGGACGUUUGCAGCAACACAUUCCUUUUUUUGUAAGGGAAACACACCAAGAAAAGACAUUGACAGCUCUUGUCUUUGGUAAAUGUUUCGUGUCUUUAUCCAUUAUUAAAAGAGAUGCGAAUACAAAAGUGAUUGUAAAAUGGUUAUUGAUGUAGGGGCUGUUAUUUUUUGUACCAUAAGUCUUGGACAUAUGGCAAUGCAUUCUGUUACAUCAUUAGAAGUGCAGCUGCACACAAUUCCACUGAUCAAGGCUGCAAUAACGCCUUUCAUUCACACAAUCUGACAAGCUUUCAAACGAACAUUGAUUGAGUAUAGCAUAUUUAAUUAAUGAACUGAGCAUGUGAAAGCGUCCAAGGACUUUGAAUGAAGAAAGGAAAAAUUGCCCUUUUGUCCAUUGACCAUUUUCCUUUGAAUGUUUUCUUUUUUUAAUUGAAAUAAAAGGUUUGAUGUAUAAGUACAGAAUUCUAAAGCCUGUCUCACAAAAGCAAUGUUUCAACAUUUUAUUUUAUUUCAGUGAUUUGCAUUUAGCAUUUUAGUAUCUCCAAGGUUGACCUCUUGGUAUUUUAAUUACUAGUAUUCCUGAACUGAAGUUUCUUAACAACUUUUACAGUGGCUUAUUGUGGGCCAUUCUAUCAAAGCUGAGGAUGAUUGCUACUGCGUAGUCAUGGGGACACUAGACCUACAGUUUCUGUUUUUUUUAACACGUCACAGCCAAGCAUGCCGCAGUCACCCGGGUCAAAAUUUGCGAGUGAGGCAUCCUGGUCUGUGCUGUGAUGUGUGACAACGACAUAGAGGACUUGGACCUGACUAAAUCGAUGAACUGAUGGUUGUUUAUUGUACCGCCACGUCUAGGUGUAACAAAAACAACUAAUGAGACAACGCUCUUGGAGAGAGACCAAACCUUCUACUGUAAUGACCUCAUCAGACGCAAGCUACCUUUUGAUGCUUCGUCGGGAAGAGAGAGCCUCUCCAAGAGCAUGUUAGCAUGACCAAACCUUCUACUGUAAUGACCUCAUCAGACGCAAGCUACCUUUUGAUGCCUCGUCGGGAAGAGAGAGCCUCUCCAAGAUGUUUGAAGAGCCUGCCUUUGUAAUAAUGAUUUAUAAUUAUCUUGGUCUGAAUCAAAAAUUGGUGAGAGGAGAAAAAAAAAUGUUUUUUUUUUUUUUAAAUAAAAAAGUAAACUGCGCCUUGAGGGUCCAUCUUAAGGAGAGUCUUUCAUAAGAUCACCCAAGAGCAGAGCAUGUGAUUAUGGCACAGUUCCUCUGUAACCUUAAAAGAAUAAAUGUCAAAUCAAAG
This is a long non-coding RNA of Oncorhynchus tshawytscha (Chinook salmon), 2952 nucleotides long. The record is from Ensembl. Lineage: Eukaryota; Metazoa; Chordata; Actinopteri; Salmoniformes; Salmonidae.